UGGGGAAUAUUGGACAAUGGGCGAAAGCCUGAUCCAGCCAUGCCGCGUGUGUGAAGAAGGUCUUCGGAUUGUAAAGCACUUUAAGUUGGGAGGAAGGGCAGUAAGCGAAUACCUUGCUGUUUUGACGUUACCGACAGAAUAAGCACCGGCUAACUCUGUGCCAGCAGCCGCGGUAAUACAGAGGGUGCAAGCGUUAAUCGGAAUUACUGGGCGUAAAGCGCGCGUAGGUGGUUCGUUAAGUUGAAUGUGAAAGCCCCGGGCUCAACCUGGGAACUGCAUCCAAAACUGGCGAGCUAGAGUAGGGCAGAGGGUUGUGGAAUUUCCUGUGUAGCGGUGAAAUGCGUAGGUAUAGGAAGGAACACCAGUGGCGAAGGCGACCACCUGGGCUCAUACUGACACUGAGGUGCGAAAGCGUGGGGAGCAAACAGG
This 429-nucleotide ribosomal RNA is filed under the name Pseudomonadota bacterium. RNAcentral's name for it is "Proteobacteria bacterium partial 16S ribosomal RNA". It matches the Rfam family "Bacterial small subunit ribosomal RNA", at positions 355 to 776 of the family's 1533-position model. Lineage: Bacteria; Pseudomonadati; Pseudomonadota. The record is from RNAcentral.